Long non-coding RNA from Catharus ustulatus (Swainson's thrush), 650 nucleotides. RefSeq lists it as uncharacterized. The record is from RefSeq and is a predicted model, not a curated record. NCBI's taxonomy places the organism in Eukaryota, Metazoa, Chordata, Aves, Passeriformes, Turdidae. The transcript is spliced from 3 exons.
UCUUGUUCUUCUUGGUUGUUUCUUCCAGUGCACCAGCUAAGGAGCUUCUGCAGCUCCUUGAAUCUGGAUUUGAUGACUGAAGAUUGCAGCACAGAGCUGUGGUGGAGCUCAUGGGCCUAAAAUUCCUGCCCGGAACUCCCCGGAGCAUUCCACACCCAGCCCUAUGCUCUGGCAGCUUUCAAAGAGAAGAAUAUAUCCCCUCCUUCACUACCUUCCUGCCCCUCCUCAGAAAGACCAGAAGUCCAUCAGGAAUGUCAGUCCUCUCUCCUGCAGGAACCUUUGGACUUCAUCCCUGUGAUGAAAUCAGCUUCAAGCAAUGAGUUAAUGUUUGACCAGGACCACACAAGCUGCACAAGGAAACCAUGUGCAAGACCUUCUCUUCGUCCUUAUUUGCUUUACAAGUGAGCAAUGUGGCGUGUUGUAAAGGAGUCCCAUUUCUGGAAAUGAGGAUCCCUUAAGGUUGCCUCAAGAGAGUGCAGAAUCACUGCAUCUGGAAGAUCUUGAUCACAGCAUCUUGAGAGAUAGAAACAAGUCUCCAAAGGCUGUGAUCUGAAGCAGGGCAGGAAAAGCAUUUUGCCAAAGAAGAAUAGCUUGGAGCAGUUUCACUCUGGAGGUCUCACACAGUAAAGGAGAGGACAGGAAGAAGGCAG